CCUACGGGAGGCAGCAGUGGGGAAUAUUGCACAAUGGGGGAAACCCUGAUGCAGCGACGCCGCGUGAGUGAAGAAGUAAUUCGUUAUGUAAAGCUCUAUCAGCAGGGAAGAAAAUGACGGUACCUGAGUAAGAAGCCCCGGCUAACUACGUGCCAGCCGCAGCGGGAAUACGGAGGGGGCCAGCGUUAUCCGGAUUUACUGGGGGUAAAGGGAGCGUAGACGGGAGUGCAAGUCUGGAGGUAAAGUCGGGGGCUCAACCCCCGGACUGCUCUGGAAACUGUACGGCUGGAGUGCAGGAGAGGUAAGUGGAAUGCCUAGUGUAGCGGUGAAAUGCGUAGAUAUUAGGAGGAACACCAGUGGCGAAGGCAGCUUACUGGACUGUAACUGACGUUGAGGCUCGAAAGCGUGGGGAGCAAACAGGAUUAGAUACCCUUGUAGUC
RNAcentral lists this ribosomal RNA (440 nucleotides) under uncultured bacterium. RNAcentral's name for it is "partial 16S ribosomal RNA". It matches the Rfam family "Bacterial small subunit ribosomal RNA", at positions 338 to 795 of the family's 1533-position model. The record is from RNAcentral.